GUUGCCGCGACUAAAGUACUGAAAUCCCUUGAUCAUAAUGUUUGUCGCACUUUGACUUCGACCCAAGGGGCGAUGUUUGUCGUUGUGAGGUAGGGAGGUCAGGGAGCCUAAAUCCGUCGAAUCGUCUUUACGCCCCGUGCUCUUCCAUUCGUCCAUAAUGUGAUCCGUUCGCUGAAGAAACUCCGAGAUUCUCGACGAGAGAUAAGAAGACGCGGUGGCGGGUUCCAGAUGAGCGGCGGUCGGCUUGAAAGAUUGGCGAACCUUCUGCUUCUCGAUACCAAGGACGAAAUUGAGACUGGCCAAAAGAAAAAAAAGAAAAAACAAGAAAACCGAAGCGCAACAUCAAGAGGGAUGGUUUUUGAUUUUUCGGUCGACGGGAGUUCGGUUUCCUUGGAAACGCCGCCGCCACCGCCCAACGUGCCGAGAUAAAUAAACCUUGUAAAUUCCCUUAGCCUCGGUAGAGGUUCAAAAGCACUGGGAGAAUAAACUCCGCAGCGGUCUCGCAUUGGAUUUCAUGGAUGGAAAAUACACGCGAUUGGCUUAGUACUGCGCCAGUUUAACGACGUCGCAAUUUUUUUUUGUUUUUUUGUUUCUUCCGUCCCCCCCAUCAUUUUUAUCUUCCCCGUAGCGAAGAUAAGCUUUGGAAUUGCCCCGGGGGGGAACUGGCGGAGAGGUUUCUUACACCCCGCGCGAUGGACGGACGCGGUGGCUAGCAAUGAUUGUGAACGUCGUAUCGAGUGGGACAGCGAGCCGGCGUAUUAUUACCAGGGUGCCGUAGAUUUACGUCUUAACUCUUCCUCUGCUAUCCCAAACCGCCUUCGGUAAGAUCCUUCAACCACGAUAUCCCCGGAGACGUUAAACCGAGCAGCUUCUUCUUCUUCUUAUUCUUCUUCUUCUUCUUAUUCUUCUACUUCUUCUUCUUCUUUGAUUUUACGCCGCCGCAAAAGAUUUUCCCUCCUCCGAACGUCGUCGCCGCGAUCUUCGAUUUUUUUUUUAUUCCAUUUCAUUCGACGAACGGCCCCCGAGUUUUGCGCUCGUUAUGAUACGGACGUACGUUGUACCUACCUACCUACCUACCUACCUACCUAUGCCUCGCGGGAAGCACGUUAAGUACCUGAAAUUUCGAUAUCGAUCCAAGUAAAAUAGACCACCCUUGUACAUAUUCAACGAUCGAACGACUCUGUGUGACGGGAAUUUUUUUUCCCUCCGCAAAUACUUUCGUCCAGAAUUUUCGUACCAAAAAAAAAAAAAA
This 1252-nucleotide unclassified non-coding RNA is filed under the name Athalia rosae (coleseed sawfly). Its description in RNAcentral is "misc RNA ENSAEAG00005009659.1". The record is from RNAcentral. Lineage: Eukaryota; Metazoa; Arthropoda; Insecta; Hymenoptera; Athaliidae.